RNAcentral lists this ribosomal RNA (497 nucleotides) under uncultured bacterium. RNAcentral describes it as "partial 16S ribosomal RNA". It matches the Rfam family "Bacterial small subunit ribosomal RNA", at positions 28 to 507 of the family's 1533-position model. The record is from RNAcentral.
GAUGAACGCUGGCGGCGUGCCUAAUACAUGCGAGUCGAGCGAACGGACGAGAAGCUUGCUUCUCUGAUGUUAGCGGCGGACGGGUGAGUAACACGUGGAUAACCUACCUAUAAGACUGGGAUAACUUCGGGAAACCGGAGCUAAUACCGGAUAAUAUUUUGAACCGCAUGGUUCAAAAGUGAAAGACGGUCUUGCUGUUACUUAUAGAUGGAUCCGCGCUGCAUUAGCUAGUUGGUAAGGUAACGGCUUACCAAGGCAACGAUGCAUAGCCGACCUGAGAGGGUGAUCGGCCACACUGGAACUGAGACACGGUCCAGACUCCUACGGGAGGCAGCAGUAGGGAAUCUUCCGCAAUGGGCGAAAGCCUGACGGAGCAACGCCGCGUGAGUGAUGAAGGUCUUCGGAUCGUAAAACUCUGUUAUUAGGGAAGAACAUAUGUGUAAGUAACUGUGCACAUCUUGACGGUACCUAAUCAGAAAGCCACGGCUAACUACGUG